UGGCGGACGGGUGAGUAACGCGUGGGUAACCUGCCUCACACAGGGGGAUAACAGUUGGAAACGACCGCUAAUACCGCAUAACCCGCUGGUACCGCAUGGUACUGACGGAAAAGAUUUAUCGGUGUGAGAUGGACCCGCGUCUGAUUAGCCAGUGCAGGGUAACGGCCUACCAAAGCGACGAUCAGUAGCCGGCCUGAGAGGGUGAACGGCCACAUUGGGACUGAGACACGGCCCAAACUCCUACGGGAGGCAGCAG
Molecule: ribosomal RNA, 256 nt
Filed under: uncultured bacterium
Lineage: Bacteria
Description: partial 16S ribosomal RNA
Rfam family: Bacterial small subunit ribosomal RNA
Source: RNAcentral